GAUGAACGCUAGCUACAGGCUUAACACAUGCAAGUCGAGGGGCAGCGGGAUUGAAGCUUGCUUCAAUUGCCGGCGACCGGCGCACGGGUGAGUAACGCGUAUCCAACCUUCCGUACACUCAGGGAUAGCCUUUCGAAAGAAAGAUUAAUACCUGAUGGUAUCUUAAGCACACAUGUAAUUAAGAUUAAAGAUUUAUCGGUAAGCGAUGGGGAUGCGUUCCAUUAGGCAGUUGGCGGGGUAACGGCCCACCAAACCUACGAUGGAUAGGGGUUCUGAGAGGAAGGUCCCCCACAUUGGAACUGAGACACGGUCCAA
Molecule: ribosomal RNA, 315 nt
Filed under: uncultured bacterium
Lineage: Bacteria
Description: bacterial SSU rRNA
Rfam family: Bacterial small subunit ribosomal RNA
Source: RNAcentral